AAAGAUCUUCAUACCACCCUGAAUGCACCCAAUCUCAUUCAGUCUCAGAAGCAAAGCAGGGUUGGGUCUGGUUAGUACUUGGCUAGGAGAAAGAUCUUCA
Molecule: ribosomal RNA, 100 nt
Filed under: Castor canadensis (American beaver)
Lineage: Eukaryota; Metazoa; Chordata; Mammalia; Rodentia; Castoridae
Source: RNAcentral